UUCUUCCUUGUCAUGGGGAUGCAUAAUGUCCAGUGAACGUCUAGUGAGGGCAUUGAUGCUGACAAACCCAUUACGAAAGAAAGGAUUCGUCCUUUUCUUUUAAGCAACCCCCGGCCGCUGGUUCGCUUUCAAACAGCUGAUCUGGCUGGUCGGAAUUUUUGAAGCG
Molecule: non-coding RNA, 166 nt
Filed under: Anopheles farauti
Lineage: Eukaryota; Metazoa; Arthropoda; Insecta; Diptera; Culicidae
Description: U4atac minor spliceosomal RNA
Rfam family: U4atac minor spliceosomal RNA
About the family: U4atac is an essential component of the minor U12-type spliceosome complex which is required for removal of the rarer class of eukaryotic introns (AT-AC, U12-type). These interacting stem loops have been shown to be required for in vivo splicing. U4atac also contains an 3' Sm protein binding site which has been shown to be essential for splicing activity.
Source: RNAcentral